GAUGAACGUUGGCGGCGUGCCUAAUACAUGCAAGUCGAACGAAGACUGUAGUAAUACUGUCUUAGUGGCGAACGGGUGAGUAACGCGUGGGUGACCUGCCUCGAAGACCGGGAUAACAGACCGAAAGGGCUGCUAAUACCGGAUGUGGUCAAGGAUCCGCAUGGAUCUUUGAUUAAAGGGGAAACCCGUUUCGAGAUGGGCCCGCGUCCUAUCAGCUAGUUGGUGAGGUAAAAGCUCACCAAGGCGACGACGGGUAGCCGGCCUGAGAGGGUGACCGGCCACACUGGAACUGAGACACGGUCCAGACUCCUACGGGAGGCAGCAGUGGGAAUAUUGGGCAAGUGGGGGAACCCUGACCCAGCGACGCCGCGUGAGGGAUGAAGGUUUUCGGAUCGUAAACCUCUGUUGUACGGAAGAAGGAUGUGACGGUACGUACGAGAAAGCCCCGGCAAACUACGUGCCAGCACGCCGCGGUAAAAUCACGUGUA
RNAcentral lists this ribosomal RNA (488 nucleotides) under uncultured bacterium. RNAcentral's name for it is "bacterial SSU rRNA". It matches the Rfam family "Bacterial small subunit ribosomal RNA", at positions 28 to 531 of the family's 1533-position model. The record is from RNAcentral.